CCUACGGGUGGCAGCAGUGGGGAAUAUUGGACAAUGGGGGCAACCCUGAUCCAGCCAUGCCGCGUGUGUGAAGAAGGCCCUCGGGUUGUAAAGCACUUUCAGUGAGGAAGAACGCCUGGUGGUUAAUACCCAUCAGGAAAGACAUCACUCACAGAAGAAGCACCGGCUAACUCCGUGCCAGCAGCCGCGGUAAUACGGAGGUUGCGAGCGUUAAUCGGAAUUACUGGGCGUAAAGCGCGCGUAGGUGGCUUGAUAAGCCGGUUGUGAAAGCCCCGGGCUCAACCUGGGAACGGCAUCCGGAACUGUCAAGCUAGAGUGCAGGAGAGGAAGGUAGAAUUCCCGGUGUAGCGGUGAAAUGCGUAGAGAUCGGGAGGAAUACCAGUGGCGAAGGCGGCCUUCUGGACUGACACUGACACUGAGGUGCGAAAGCGUGGGUAGCAAACAGGAUUAGAUACCCGUGUAGUC
RNAcentral lists this ribosomal RNA (465 nucleotides) under Vreelandella stevensii. RNAcentral describes it as "partial 16S ribosomal RNA". It matches the Rfam family "Bacterial small subunit ribosomal RNA", at positions 338 to 795 of the family's 1533-position model. The record is from RNAcentral. Lineage: Bacteria; Pseudomonadati; Pseudomonadota; Gammaproteobacteria; Oceanospirillales; Halomonadaceae.